RNAcentral lists this long non-coding RNA (375 nucleotides) under Nicotiana benthamiana. RNAcentral's name for it is "long non-coding RNA (NBEN_LNC018152)". The record is from RNAcentral. Lineage: Eukaryota; Viridiplantae; Streptophyta; Magnoliopsida; Solanales; Solanaceae.
UUCAGUCCUGUCUGCAUCUUAGAAGAAAAACCGAUUGACGUUGUUCCCUUCUUUUACCCAAUUUUUCAAAACUCUUAUAUACAAAUUGGGGAGAUCUAAGGGGGAAAUCAGGCGGGAUACAUAAGCUUUUUGUCGAAGAGAUGGAAAUCUUGUGCCUAGAAUUGCAAUAAUUGUGUUGAAUCUUUCUCCAGGUACCAUACUUAGAAGAGAGCGAUUCUUUUUCUUUCUUCUUCUAUGCCUCUGAAUAUAUGCUUGUUCCCUCUGUGAAUCCCUAAUUGGAUGCUCAUUAACACUAAAACGCUGAUAUUUCGAGGUUCUACAGCAAUCAAGAGAGAGCAAAGAUGAAUUGAAUGGUGACUUUAGGGAAGAAAUUGA